Molecule: ribosomal RNA, 186 nt
Filed under: uncultured bacterium
Lineage: Bacteria
Description: partial 16S ribosomal RNA
Rfam family: Bacterial small subunit ribosomal RNA
Source: RNAcentral
CUGCAUGAAGUUGGAAUUGCUAGUAAUCGCAGAUCAGAAUGCUGCGGUGAAUACGUUCCCGGGUCUUGUACACACCGCCCGUCACACCAUGGGAGUCGGAAAUGCCCGAAGCCGGUGACCAAACCAAUAAGGAAGGAGCCGUCGAAGGCAGGUCUGAUAACUGGGGUGAAGUCGUAACAAGGUACC